RNAcentral lists this ribosomal RNA (453 nucleotides) under uncultured bacterium. RNAcentral describes it as "bacterial SSU rRNA". It matches the Rfam family "Bacterial small subunit ribosomal RNA", at positions 29 to 523 of the family's 1533-position model. The record is from RNAcentral.
AACGAACGCUGGCGGCAUGCCUAACACAUGCAAGUCGAACGAAGCCUUCGGGCUUAGUGGCGCACGGGUGCGUAACACGUGGGAAUCUGCCCUUUGGUUCGGAAUAACAGUUAGAAAUGACUGCUAAUACCGGAUAAUGACGUAAGUCCAAAGAUUUAUCGCCGAAGGAUGAGCCCGCGUAGGGAUUAGGUAGUUGGUGGGGGUAAAUGGCCCACCAAGCCGACGAUCCUUAGCUGGUCUGAGAGGAUGAUCAGCCACACUGGGACUGAGACACGGCCCAGACUCCUACGGGAGGCAGCAGUGGGGAAUAUUGGACAAUGGGCGAAAGCCUGAUCCAGCAAUGCCGCGUGAGUGAUGAAGGCCUUAGGGUUGUAAAGCUCUUUUACCAGGGAUGAUAAUGACAGUACCUGGAGAAUAAGCUCCGGCUAAACUCCGUGCCAGCAGCCGCGGUAA